CACGUAGUUAGCCGGGGCUUCUUAGUCAGGUACCGUCUUGUCUCGUUCCUGCUGAUAGAGCUUUACAUACCGAAAUACUUCUUCACUCACGCGGCGUCGCUGCAUCAGGGUUUCCCCCAUUGUGCAAUAUUCCCCACUGCUGCCUCCCGUAGGAGUUUGGGCCGUGUCUCAGCCCCAAUGUGGCCGUCCACCCUCUCAGGCCGGCUACUGAUCGUCGCUUUGGUAGGCCGUUACCCUGCCAACUGGCUAAUCAGACGCGGGUCCAUCCCAUACCACCGGAGUUUUUCACGCAGGAGCAUGCGCUCCCGUGCGCUUAUGCGGUAUUAGCACCUGUUUCCAGGUGGUAUCCCCCGGUAUGGGGCAGGUUACCCACGCGUUACUCACCCGUCCGCCACUAAGACUACUCAUUUCCAAAGUGACAAGCACUCCUUCCAUAAGCACUCCCCGUUCGACUUGCAUGUGUUAAGCACGCCGCCAGCGUUCAUCCUGACGCCAGGAUCAAACUCUACG
RNAcentral lists this ribosomal RNA (510 nucleotides) under uncultured Lachnospiraceae bacterium. RNAcentral describes it as "partial 16S ribosomal RNA". The record is from RNAcentral. Lineage: Bacteria; Bacillati; Bacillota; Clostridia; Lachnospirales; Lachnospiraceae.